This 1552-nucleotide unclassified non-coding RNA is filed under the name Monomorium pharaonis (pharaoh ant). Its description in RNAcentral is "sPRY domain-containing SOCS box protein 3, transcript variant X2". Lineage: Eukaryota; Metazoa; Arthropoda; Insecta; Hymenoptera; Formicidae. The record is from RNAcentral.
AUAUAUACUCAAAGGAAUACACUCACUAUAGUGCCUUCCACUAUGAUCGGAACGCAGCCUAUUGAUAAGAUCACAUCACACAAUCUUUCACAGAAUUUCAUAAGCACUAUACAUAAAAAUACAAAAUAUGCUUAGAUCUGUCAUUACAACUUAUGAUUUUAAAAAAAUAUGUAAAUAUAAUAAUUGAAACUUGGUGAUUUAUAUAAAAUAUGGAUUUAACUACAAACGAACAUUUAGAGAUAAAAAACGAUUUUCAUUCAUCCAAUCAUGAAUGGACUUGGGAUGAAAAACUGUCAACUUCAUCCAUUAAAUUAUCAGAUAACAACUUAAAUGUUAUAUUUCAUCCUAUAUAUAGCACUGGUACAGCCGUCGCAAAAGGUAAUAAACCAUUAGAGAAAGGAAGGCAUCAUUUUUGGGAGAUUUUAAUGAUAACACAUAUAUAUGGCACUGAUGUAAUGGUUGGUGUAGGAACUGCAAAUGCCAAGAUUUAUGAUGCAAGUGAUAAUUUUUGUGCUCUGCUCGGACGAGAUCAAGAAUCUUGGGGUUUUUCAUAUAAAGGAUAUUUGCAGCACGACGGUAAAACAUGUAAAUAUGGGACAAGCUUUGGUCAAGAUAACUUGGUAGGAAUUCAUCUUGACACUUGGAUUGGCACGUUACAAUUUUUUAUCAAUCGAAAACCAUUGGGUAUGGCUUUUACAAAGUUAAACAAUUUUACACUUUAUCCAUUAGUGAGCUCAACAAUGGCUCAAUGUGUAAUGAAAUUAACCUAUAGUUGUUCAACACCAGCAUCUCUACAAACUACUUGUCUCGCAGUUUUGUCACCUUCACAGAAAGCACAUUUAUCAAAAAAUUUUCCUGGUUUGCGUUAUCUCACUCAAAAUAUCUUUGCUGAUAUACUACAAAAAUCUAUUGAUUGUGAUAAUGAGGACGACUUUGAAUUUCCUGCAGAGUAUAUUAUUUUAGAUGAUUUUGAUUACGCACUUGUUGGAAUAAAGAAGAAAAAGCAUUUUUAGUGAUACACAGGUUAAAGUUUUAUAUCGAGAGGACAACAGAAAAACAAAAAUCCAAAUCACAUGCGACACUUUCACGCGCAUGUGGUGUAAACAGAGGACGCGAGACGGCGGGACACGACCGUAGCGCAGCUACAAACGCUCCAUAGUGUUUGUAGCGUUUACUGGACCGCAGCCUAUACGAGUUUUGGAACAUAUUAUGAGUGUUUGAUAAAAUAUUACAUCCCUGAGAAUUGCUAUUGACAUCCUCGGAAGAAGAAUACGUCAUUAUUUUAUGGCAAUCUCUCACGUUCUAUACCCUUAAUAAGGAACAUUAUCUCAAUAAAGCACUUUGAUUGAAGCACGUCGAAGAAGAUUUUACCUAUGAAAUCCGCCGACGCAGUCCCGGCCAUUUUUAAACACGUGCGAAAUCUAUAAUAUGCAAAAACAAAUAAAAAAUAUGAUAAUAUUGUUACAAGUGUUAAAAUUGUACAAAUUGUUGCACGUAUUAAUAAUAAAUGUUGUGAUGUUUGCAAACAUCAAACAAUUUGUCUCGAAAAUAA